UACGGGGGGAGCAAGCGUUGUUCGGAUUUACUGGGCGUAAAGGGCGCGUAGGCGGCAAUUCAAGUCAGUUGUGAAAUCUCCGAGCUUAACUCGGAACGGUCAACUGAUACUGUUUUGCUAGAGUGCAGAAAGGGCAACCGGAAUUCUUGGUGUAGCGGUGAAAUGCGUAGAUAUCAAGAGGAACACCUGAGGCGAAGGCGGGUUGCUAGGCUGACACUGACGCUGAGGCGCGAAAGCUAGGGUAGCAAACGGG
This 253-nucleotide ribosomal RNA is filed under the name uncultured bacterium. Its description in RNAcentral is "partial 16S ribosomal RNA". It matches the Rfam family "Bacterial small subunit ribosomal RNA", at positions 524 to 776 of the family's 1533-position model. The record is from RNAcentral.